UCAUUUGCUCAUUAAUUGUGGGCUGAAUGGCCUGACGAGGGUGAGACUGUCUCUUAGUAGAGUAUGUGGAAAUUAUUUUUUAGGUGAAGAGACCUAAAUAUGACCAAGGGACGAUAAGACCCUAUCGAGCUUUAGUGGAACCGUAAAGUUCAUGGGAGUAGUGUAUAUUCCAUUGUUUAUGGGAAUCUUUGGUUGGGGCGAUCAAGAAGUAAAAAAAACCUUUAAUUCUUAGAUAUUGGCCUAUAGGCGAAAGAUCUGGCAUAUUAUGCAGAUAAAAAGAAUAAGUUACCGUAGGGA
This 297-nucleotide ribosomal RNA is filed under the name Fissurella crassa. RNAcentral's name for it is "partial 16S ribosomal RNA". The record is from RNAcentral. Lineage: Eukaryota; Metazoa; Mollusca; Gastropoda; Lepetellida; Fissurellidae.